This 3388-nucleotide long non-coding RNA is filed under the name Mus musculus (house mouse). RNAcentral's name for it is "long non-coding RNA chr12:34496105-34499493". Lineage: Eukaryota; Metazoa; Chordata; Mammalia; Rodentia; Muridae. The record is from RNAcentral.
UUCCCCUCCAUGCUUUUGUUGCCGAUUGCUGCUUUCUUUCUCUCUCUAGCUCUCACUUUGUGAAAAUGAGCUCAGGGCUCCCACGAAGCUCUAGCUCUACCUCUCCAAGUCCAUAUGGAUGGCAAAACAAACAAAGGAAGAAGAAAAGAUUUAAUCUCAAAAGCAUGAAGUGAGUAAUAAUCCAAUCUGUCUCCUGUGCAGUUACUCAUCUAAGUAGUUCCUCUAGCCUUUGCUAACAAUCUUAGCUCCACAAAAGGACCUGUCUGGACCUCUUGUCAUUAGCCAACUACACAUUAGAGCUUUUUACGUUCCACAAAACUACCCCUGGCCCCAACUCACACAAAGGAGAUUAGAAUAGACUUUGUGUUCCAGGCGAGCAAAGAUGCAAGGUUGUCCUCUUUCCUCAUUUGAACAUCUAUAUCUGGCAUAAAGCAUACACCCAAAGACCUUUCUUGAAUGGAUGAACAAUCUCUCUCCCAUCCCUAAUACGAGGCUUCUUGGAGUUAUUCUAGAUUCGUUCUUUACCUCUUGCCUCAAUUCCUAUCUUUUUUUUUUCUUCUUCUAUUUCUGGUCCUUCCAAUUUUCCCUCUCAUUAUGCUCUCACUGUUCCUGCACCUCGGGCAUUUAUAGUUAACAGUUAAUUCUAUGUGACAAUUGCAUAACCUAUUUUAAGGUGUCUUCCAUCUUUAACGCUAUGGCUCCAGUUACAUUUCCAAGGAGCAUUUCUGAUCAUACAGCUCUCCUGCUGAACAUUUGUCAGAGCUUCCCAACCACCAUCCCUCUGUGGAUUUAAAGGUCCUAAGUCAUUGAUCUCACGCCUGGUUUUCAGCUUCAUAGCCUGAUAAGCCAGUGUUAUAGACUGCCUUCCAAAUGCCCUCAGGUGCAUUGGACUUCCCUUUAUUCAUCUCUUUUGAACAGCUUCACAGAAUUUUUCAACCAUGUCUCUUCUACAGGUGAAACCUGUUGCAUUAGGUCCACAUUGCUUUUUUUUUACCUCAGCCCUAGACUCUGCACUUCUGGAAGGAAGCAAGAUAAUAUAUCAGUUAGUUUGACCAAUUAAGAUGGCUUCUUAUAACUACUGGUUAGUGAAGUGGCUGAAACUCUCUGGCCUCAGAUCUUCACUUGUGAAAUGAUGAUAUCACCUACAAAAAAUGUCCUCAGCAGAUACAGAUGGAAUCUCAUACACUUUAAGUGAAUAGAACAUAACAUAUUCUUAAAUAAUAUUACUACUGUCCCUUCUGAGGACAUACCCUUGACCACAGCUCAGUUACCACACCUAUGAGCUCCCAGUCAAAAUUACAAGGAUCAAGAUGAAGAGAGGUAUGGUUUGUUUAUUGGAUGAUUUAAAACAAACAAACAAACGCUUUCCUGUUUCUCUUUUCACUUGAGCUAAUACGUUGGAUUGAAUUGAAAAGAAACUAAGAGACUGUCCAGGCAUAGGAAGAACUGACAAUCAUCCUCACUCUAAAGAGAAUUAAAAAUGUGGUAGCCGGGAUGGGUGUGCAGAAGAGUGUUGGAAGGGCUUGGAUCGUCAGAGUCUGCAGGCACAGUGCUAUAUUCCUAGACUUCUCCAUGGCUUUGUCCUUGGGCUGCUCUACCUUUCAAACACUUAUCUACAGAUGCAUUUACUAAUAAGGUAUCUUCUGACUCUAAAGUGCCUCAGAAUGUGUGGCUGUUACUUCUGAAUGGCCCCAAGUGGGUUUUUUUGUACUUGGCACUACCAACACAGCCAUUCACAGGGAGGCAGUCUCUCUAUAAAUGAACAGAUUCCCACACGUAGGCUGUAAUAUAUGCAUAACACAUUUUCUCGCGGUGUUAAUUUUGGUCUAACAUCCUCCUGAUGGUCUUGAUUACCUUGGAGACUUACAUCCUGCCUUCUGUGUAUAUGUGGUUGUUAGUCACUUCUACCAAGUUGUCUCACCACCACUUCUCAAGAACUAUAACACAAGAUACAAUGUUUCAAUAACUGAUUUUUUUUUUCAACAAAUGUUCACUGGAGCGCCUGUUUCACCACACUGUGCUGAGGGUUAGUCCAAUUUAACUCUCAUGUAAAAACAGACAAACUCUAUAAAGAUCCAACUAGCUUUAUAUUAAACAUAACCAGGACCAUUUCAAAAUGUUAGUUUCAUUGAAUAAUUUCUUAGUUUACAAGUAAAAUGUGAUUAUCUUAAAAAAGAUCACCUCCAAUUGCUUCAUUCUCUCUGUCUUAAUAAUUGGGCAUCCUAGGUCACAUUUCUAUGACUGCCAUUCAAACAGUACAUGAAUCAUUAAGUAUCCCGAGAAUGUAACAAAUAAAUGGAAAGCUAGCAGAGGGAGAAACGCCAUUUGGGAUCACACAUGGACGCUGAAACAUGAUAGACACUAAUAAUUUUUAAUUGGGAUCAUCAGAGGCUCUCUCAACUUUGCCUACUUUAUUCAUGGUGUGCUAAUCAAACGGAGGCUGGGCACGGAUUCUCGGUAAAUGGUCGAUGCUGUGACAAAUAUCCAGGCAUCUGGUUAUGUCAGAUAUCUCCCUUGGGGAAUUAAAAUGAAACAAGAAGUGUUUUUGUUCUUAAAAAUCUGUACUCUGCUAGAUACGAUCCAAAAAGGACUUAAACAUCUCAUCUAACUUUUACAAUGCUAUGUUUCCAGAAGGAAAUUAUAUUACAUUUGUCCAUUCAAAAUGCAAAAAGCAAGACAUCCAAGAAAGAGAUUUGCAGCAGAGUGAGAUUUAAAAGACACAUUUUCCCCCUCCAUUACUGGAGAUAGCAAGCACUUUAAAAGCCUGUUCUUUCAUAAUUGGAUUCCAGAUCAUUAUUUUUUUGGCCAAAACGAAAGGUUUUCUGCAUUCUUAAAAUAAUUAGGCAAGAUUUCAAAUCAAAUUAUCCAAUUUCAAAGCUCUAUUUUUCCUCUCUAAAACUCCCGUUAGAGGCCUGCAGUGACUAAGCUGUGUGUCACUCUCCUGGCUUUAUUAGGAGAAUGUUCUGAGUCCUUCACUUUCUAUGUAAUCAGAACUAUAAUUUCUUCAGGUUAUUUUAAGAACUGGCUAUGGCUAAAGCAGGAAACUCAAUUUUAUUCUGAGCUCUAGACAUGUCGACACAGCAGCGCAAGGCUCCAGCUUCCUCGGCUAUCUUCUUUCAGAAACCCUCUUGCCUCGGGUCAGAGAGAGGCUGUAGGCUAGUUGCAGCCCAUUCUGCAUAUCCAGUUAACUCUCUCCAAGAUAUGAAGAUAGUGGGGUUGCUCUUGUGGAGAGUGUGUGUGGGCAUGUCAUUACUCUCCAAAUGAGGAGCUCAUUUACCAGAGAGCACUGUCCUUGCUAACUUCCACUUGAAAGCGAUAUUCAACAGAAGGACAUUUGAAAAAGCCCAGGUGCUAGAACCAUUUGAUUAAAAGAAAAAUAAAAAAGCAG